GGGGCAGCAUGGCACCAUUCAAGAAGCACCAGCCUGGGAGACCGAGGACAAGGGACCAGGAAUAGAACUACACCACUGGGAAUUCCUCCAGAAGCACAAGAACUAGAUAUGAAGGAUAAAACUGUUCACUGGUCCAGGUCUCUGAUAAAAUUACUAUUGUAAGCAUCAAAUUCUUAUGUCAUUUAAUAUCAGAGUAAAUGGUAAUUAGAGAGAAACUGAUGGAUUAGCUUAGCUGUGAAGUGUAAUGGUUGCAAAAUUAAAUACACUAAGUAGAAAUUUUAAGCAUAACCACCUUCAAAGGAAAUAGAAUUUUCAAAUAGCCUCUUUGGAAGAUUACUUAAUUCGUGUUUAUAAAUUAUGUUAAAGAUGAAAAGCCUUAUUAAAUAUUAGAGCAUCAUCUAAUACUCUAAUUUAUGCGCAGAAUGACAAUUAUCAAAUUGUAAUUAAAUAGUGAGAGAGCAUAAUGGUAUAAGGCUUUGAUAAAAGGCCUUGAUUACUAGGAUCAGGAUCUAAGUUGAUUGGUCUCAGGCAGCCUCUGUUUUCUCUUGUCAGACUAAAUGCAAUUUUCUUUUCAUGAGAAUUAAAAAAUUUAAGAUCAGAGUGUUUGGAUUUAGUUUGACAUUCUAAAUAUCAUUGUUAAUUGAUUUUGACAGAGCUAAUCAAUUGUCUUUAAAUCUUAAAUUAGGAGUUCUCGUCAUGGCUCAGGGAUUAAUGAACCCGACUAGUAUCCACAAGGCCAUGGGUUCGAUCCCUGACCCUACUCAGUGGGUUAAGGAUCCAGUGAGCUGUGCUAUAGGUUACAGACGCGGCUCGGAUCUGACGUGACUGCGGCUGUGGCAUACACCUGUGGCUACAGUUCUGAUUCAACCCCUAGCCUGGAAAUCCUCCACAUGUUGCAAGUGCGGCCCUAAAAAAAAACCUUAACAUUAAAGAAGCUAACUUAAUCCUAUCUCCUUUAACUCUUAAGACAUAAGGUAAUGUAGAUAUUUAUACAUGAAUAAUUAUUAUAUUGUUAUAGUAAAAUUACUAUAAUCAUUCAUUUGUUUUUAUAUAUGCAUGUUUACAUACAUAUAGAUAUGAAAAGUGAUUAAAAUAAGAUGUAAAAAGUUGUGUAUAUUAUGUUUUUUAAUAGUGGACCUAUAAAAAUCUCCUCAGUGAAUUUCAUGUUUUCAUUUAACUAUGGUUAAUAUAUUGUAUCAUAAAUCUUCUGGCUA
RNAcentral lists this long non-coding RNA (1214 nucleotides) under Sus scrofa (pig). RNAcentral describes it as "lncRNA (ENSSSCG00025005745.1)". Lineage: Eukaryota; Metazoa; Chordata; Mammalia; Artiodactyla; Suidae. The record is from RNAcentral.